UUUGGUUGAAUUUAGAACAAAGCUAAUUACUACUUAAGAAACAAGCGUGUGUUUCCCCUUCUCCCAGGAAUUGGAGCAGGUGUGUAGGCCUUAGGUCAGAGGUGCCUGCUUAUCUGCACCUGACAACACUUCUCCACUCUGGCUCCAUGAGACCCGAAGUUUUGAAAUCAGCAUCUGAGUCCGUCAUGCAGCUUGUCUCAGGACGUCAGUGCUCCAAGAAGGCAGCAGUUUCCUUGGUGGUGGAGUCAGAAGGAGAGUCUUUGGGAAUUCUCCUGGAUAGAGGCAUGCUGGUGGCUUCAGGGGGCUUGGCGGACAUCAGGAGCCCUGGGGAAUCGGAGCAGGUGUGUAGGCUUUAGGUGGGAGGCGCCUCCAUAUCCCCACCUGACAACCCUUCCUCGCUCUGGCUCCACGAGACCUGAAGUUUGGAAAUCAGCAUCUGAAUCCGUUAUACAGCUUGUCCCAGGAUGUCAGCAUUCAGAGAAAACAGCAGGCCCGUGGGGCACAGUGGCAUAUCGAUGCCAGCAUGGGAGGUAAAACUUCUCU
Molecule: long non-coding RNA, 543 nt
Filed under: Mustela putorius furo (domestic ferret)
Lineage: Eukaryota; Metazoa; Chordata; Mammalia; Carnivora; Mustelidae
Description: lncRNA (ENSMPUG00000031550.1)
Source: RNAcentral